Molecule: ribosomal RNA, 308 nt
Filed under: uncultured bacterium
Lineage: Bacteria
Description: bacterial SSU rRNA
Rfam family: Bacterial small subunit ribosomal RNA
Source: RNAcentral
AAUAAUACCUGAUAGUCUCUACGGAGUAAAUGAUGCCUUCGGGUGUCGCUAAAGGAUGGGCUCGCGGCCUAUCAGUUUGUUGGUGAGGUAAAGGCUCACCAAGACUACGACGGGUAGCUGGUCUGAGAGGACGAUCAGCAACACUGGAACUGAGACACGGUCCAGACACCUACGGGUGGCAGCAGUCGAGAAUCAUUCACAAUGGAGGAAACUCUGAUGGUGCAACGCCGCGUGGAGGAUGACGGCCCUAGGGUUGUAAACUCCUGUCAUUGGGGAGUAAGACUUAUGCGUUAAGAGCGUGUAAGUUU